RNAcentral lists this transfer RNA (85 nucleotides) under Bacillota bacterium. RNAcentral describes it as "tRNA-Leu". It matches the Rfam family "tRNA". Rfam says of the family: Transfer RNA (tRNA) molecules are approximately 80 nucleotides in length. Their secondary structure includes four short double-helical elements and three loops (D, anti-codon, and T loops). Lineage: Bacteria; Bacillati; Bacillota. The record is from RNAcentral.
GUCGGGGUGGCGGAACUGGCAGACGCGCACGGUUGAGGGCCGUGUGUUUAACGACAUACGGGUUCAAGUCCCGUCCUCGACACCA